RNAcentral lists this ribosomal RNA (255 nucleotides) under uncultured bacterium. RNAcentral describes it as "partial 16S ribosomal RNA". It matches the Rfam family "Bacterial small subunit ribosomal RNA", at positions 524 to 776 of the family's 1533-position model. The record is from RNAcentral.
GACAGAGGGUGCAAGCGUUGUUCGGAAUCAUUGGGGCGUAAAGGGCGCGUAGGCGGUUUUGUAAGUCGAAUGUGAAAGCCCAGGGCUCAACCUUGGAAGUGCAUCCGAAACUACAAAACUAGAGUCCCGGAGAGGGUGGUGGAAUUCCCAGUGGUAGAGGUGAAAUUCGUAGAUAUUGGGAGGAACACCGGUGGCGAAGGCGACCACCUGGACGGAGACUGACGCUGAGGCGCGAAAGCGUGGGGAGCAAACAGG